GCCUUCUUAGCUCAGUGGUAGAGCGCAUCACUAGUAAUGAUGAGGUCGUAGGUUCGACUCCUGCAGGAGGCA
Molecule: transfer RNA, 72 nt
Organism: Sistotremastrum niveocremeum HHB9708
Lineage: Eukaryota; Fungi; Basidiomycota; Agaricomycetes; Sistotremastrales; Sistotremastraceae
Rfam family: tRNA
About the family: Transfer RNA (tRNA) molecules are approximately 80 nucleotides in length. Their secondary structure includes four short double-helical elements and three loops (D, anti-codon, and T loops).
Source: Rfam